GACGAACGCUGGCGGCGUGCUUAACACAUGCAAGUCGAACGAGAGCGUAGAGAAAGCUUGCUUUUUCUACAAUCUAGUGGCAAACGGGUGAGUAACGCGUAAACAACCUGCCCUACGGAUGGGGACAACAGCUGGAAACGGCUGCUAAUACCGAAUACGUUCCGAAAGUCGCAUGACUAUCGGAAGAAAGGAUGGCCUCUAUUUAUAAGCUAUCGCCGGAGGAGGGGUUUGCGUCUGAUUAGCUAGUUGGAGGGGUAACGGCCCACCAAGGCGACGAUCAGUAGCCGGUCUGAGAGGAUGAACGGCCACAUUGGAACUGAGACACGGUCCAGACUCCUACGGGAGGCAGCAGUGGGGAAUCUUCCGCAAUGGGCGAAAGCCUGACGGAGCAACGCCGCGUGAGUGAAGACGGCCUUCGGGUUGUAAAGCUCUGUUAUACGGGACGAAUAAUCUUGUGGUUAAUACCCAUGAGAAGUGACGGUACCGUAAGAGAAAGCCACGGCGAACUACGU
Molecule: ribosomal RNA, 512 nt
Filed under: uncultured bacterium
Lineage: Bacteria
Description: partial 16S ribosomal RNA
Rfam family: Bacterial small subunit ribosomal RNA
Source: RNAcentral